UGGGGGAAUUUUACGCAAUGGGGGAAACCCCUGACGUAGCGACACCGCGUGAGCGAAGAAGCCCUUUGGGGUGUAAAGCUCUGUCAACAGGAACGAAACAAAUGACGGUACCUGUGGAGGAAGCAUCGGCUAACUACGUGCCAGCAGCCGCGGUAAGACGUAGGAUGCAAGCGUUGUCCGGAUUUAUUGGGGCGUAAAGAGUUCGUAGGCGGUUUGUUAAGUCUGAUGUUAAAGACCGGGGCUCAACCUCGGAAAUGCAUUGGAUACUGGCAGACUGGAGUGCAGUAGAGGGCUAGUGGAAUUCCCCAGUGUAGCGGUGAAAUGCGUAGAUAUUGGGAAGAACACCGGUGGCGUAGGCGACUAGCUGGGCUGUAACUGACGCUGAGGAACGAAAGCCAGGGGGAGCAAAUGGGAUUAGAUACCCCCAGUAGUCCUGGCCGUAAAACGAUGGAU
RNAcentral lists this ribosomal RNA (453 nucleotides) under uncultured bacterium. Its description in RNAcentral is "partial 16S ribosomal RNA". It matches the Rfam family "Bacterial small subunit ribosomal RNA", at positions 354 to 814 of the family's 1533-position model. The record is from RNAcentral.